Molecule: ribosomal RNA, 222 nt
Filed under: uncultured bacterium
Lineage: Bacteria
Description: partial 16S ribosomal RNA
Rfam family: Bacterial small subunit ribosomal RNA
Source: RNAcentral
UUUGGCGGACGGGUGAGUAACGCGUAAGAAUCACCUUUAGGAGGGGGGACAACAACUGGAAACGGUUGCUAAUACCCCAUACGCUGAGGAGUGAAAUAAAUUUUGCCUAGAGAUGAGCUUGCGUCUGAUUAGUUAGUUGGUAAGGUAAUGGCUUACCAAGGCUAUGAUCAGUAGCUGGUCUGAGAGGAUGAUCAGCCACACUGGGACUGAGACACGGCCCAG